This 329-nucleotide long non-coding RNA is filed under the name Homo sapiens (human). RNAcentral's name for it is "non-protein coding lnc-RPS27-2:2". Lineage: Eukaryota; Metazoa; Chordata; Mammalia; Primates; Hominidae. The record is from RNAcentral.
AUGGUCCAGCGUUUGACAUACCAACGUAGGCUUUCCUACAAUACAGCCUCUAACAAAACUAGGCUGUCCCAAACCCUUGGUAAUAGAAUUGUUUACCUUUAUACCAAGAUGGAUGGGAAAGCACCAAAAUCUGCAUGUGGCAUGUGCCCAGGCAGACUUCAAGGGAUUCGUGCCGUAAAACCUGAAGUUCUUACGAGAUUGUCCAAAACAACAUGUCGGGUUCCAUGUGUGCUAAAUGUGUUCGUGACUGGAUCAAGUGUGCUCUCCUUAUCGAGGAGCAGAAAAUUGUUGUGAAAGUGUCGAAGGCACAAGCACAGUCAGCUAAAUAA